This 583-nucleotide ribosomal RNA is filed under the name Photobacterium sp. Its description in RNAcentral is "bacterial SSU rRNA". It matches the Rfam family "Bacterial small subunit ribosomal RNA", at positions 348 to 924 of the family's 1533-position model. Lineage: Bacteria; Pseudomonadati; Pseudomonadota; Gammaproteobacteria; Vibrionales; Vibrionaceae. The record is from RNAcentral.
GCAGCAGUGGGGAUAUUGCACAAUGGGGGAAACCCUGAUGCAGCCAUGCCGCGUGUAUGAAGAAGGCCUUCGGGUUGUAAAGUACUUUCAGUUGUGAGGAAGGCGUUGAAGUUAAUAGCUUCAGCGUUUGACGUUAGCAACAGAAGAAGCACCGGCUAACUCCGUGCCAGCAGCCGCGGUAAUACGGAGGGUGCGAGCGUUAAUCGGAAUUACUGGGCGUAAAGCGCAUGCAGGCGGUCUGUUAAGCAAGAUGUGAAAGCCCGGGGCUCAACCUCGGAACAGCAUUUUGAACUGGCAGACUAGAGUCUUGUAGAGGGGGGUAGAAUUUCAGGUGUAGCGGUGAAAUGCGUAGAGAUCUGAAGGAAUACCGGUGGCGAAGGCGGCCCCCUGGACAAAGACUGACGCUCAGAUGCGAAAGCGUGGGGAGCAAACAGGAUUAGAUACCCUGGUAGUCCACGCCGUAAACGAUGUCUACUUGAAGGUUGUGGCCUUGAGCCGUGGCUUUCGGAGCUAACGCGUUAAGUAGACCGCCUGGGGAGUACGGUCGCAAGAUUAAAACUCAAAUGAAUUGACGGGGGCCGGC